Molecule: ribosomal RNA, 253 nt
Filed under: uncultured bacterium
Lineage: Bacteria
Description: partial 16S ribosomal RNA
Rfam family: Bacterial small subunit ribosomal RNA
Source: RNAcentral
UACGUAGGUGGCUAGCGUUGUCCGGAUUUACUGGGCGUAAAGCGCGUGUAGGCGGCCAGGUAAGUCGGAUGUGAAAGCCCGGGGCCCAACCCCGGAACUGCACCCGAUACUGCCUGGCUGGAGUCCCGGAGAGGAUGGCGGAAUUUCCGGUGUAGAGGUGAAAUUCGUAGAUAUCGGAAGGAACACCAGUGGCGAAGGCGGCCAUCUGGACGGUGACUGACGCUGAGACGCGAAAGCGUGGGGAGCAAACAGG